Molecule: transfer RNA, 87 nt
Filed under: Phycisphaerales bacterium
Lineage: Bacteria; Pseudomonadati; Planctomycetota; Phycisphaerae; Phycisphaerales
Description: tRNA-Ser
Rfam family: tRNA
About the family: Transfer RNA (tRNA) molecules are approximately 80 nucleotides in length. Their secondary structure includes four short double-helical elements and three loops (D, anti-codon, and T loops).
Source: RNAcentral
GGAGGAGUGGCCGAGCGGCUUAAGGCGACGGUCUUGAAAACCGUUGGACGGGAAACUGUCCCGGGGGUUCGAAUCCCUCCUCCUCCG